UGUUUGCAGUGGGUUUGCUCUCCUCAAGUGUUGUCCUCGCCAGGAGUAGGUUUGCAAGUGGAAGACAGAGAACAGGAAGAAGAACAGAUGCUGGCUGCCUCCAGAAGGCCUUGCUGGGUCCACACCUGGAAUCUGUGGACUCCAGGUGCCCUCAGAAUUGUCUCGGUGCUUUUCGUCCCACACCUUGGUUGUGGCAUGCUCCCUGCAUCUCCUUGAUUUCCACCUUCUCUGGCCCCCUUCCCCACUUAUCAUUUCUAACGUUGCUGGAUGCAUAACUCUCUGCUGACUGUACCAUGCCUCAUUUUAUUAUAUUAAAGAUUUUGUUGUUAUUGUUAUUGAAUGGGAUGGCUAACCUUGAUUGUCAACUUGACAUAUCUGCAGAAAGGGAACUCAGUUACAGAAUUGCCUCCUGCAGACUGUCCCGUGGGCGUCUCUGUGGUGGUAUCUUCUUGACUGCUAAUUGAUGUGGGAGGACCCAUCACACUGUGGGCAGUGCCAUCCCUAGGAAAGUGGGAUUCAGGUACAUAAAAGACACAGUUUAAUGGGAGCCUGGGAGCAAGCCAGUCAGCAGCAUUCCUCCAUGGUUUCUGCCUCAGUUUCCCACCUUGAGUUCCUUUCUUGGCUUCCAUGAGUUAUAACCUGUUAGCUAAAAUAAACCCUUUCCUCCCCAA
This is a long non-coding RNA of Alexandromys fortis (reed vole), 671 nucleotides long. RefSeq lists it as uncharacterized. The record is from RefSeq and is a predicted model, not a curated record. NCBI's taxonomy places the organism in Eukaryota, Metazoa, Chordata, Mammalia, Rodentia, Cricetidae. The transcript has 2 exons.